GAUGCAGCGACGCCGCGUGAGGGAUGACGGCUCGGGUUGUAACCUCUUCAGCAGGGAAGAAGCGAAAGUGACGGUACCUGCAGAAGAAGCGCCGGCUAACUACGUGCCAGCAGCCGCGGUAAUACGUAGGGCGCAAGCGUUGUCCGGAAUUAUUGGGCGUAAAGAGCUCGUAGGCGGCUUGUCACGUCGGGUGUGAAAGCCCGGGGCUUAACCCCGGGUCUGCAUUCGAUACGGGCUAGCUAGAGUGUGGUAGGGGAGAUCGGAAUUCCUGGUGUAGCGGUGAAAUGCGCAGAUAUCAGGAGGAACACCGGUGGCGAAGGCGGAUCUCUGGGCCAUUACUGACGCUGAGGAGCGAAAGCGUGGGGAGCGAACAGGAUUAGAUACCCUGGUAGUCCACGCCGUAAACGGUGGGAACUAGGUGUUGGCGACAUUCCACGUCGUCGGUGCCGCAGCUAACGCAUUAAGUUCCCCGCCUGGGGAGUACGGCCGCAAGGCUA
Molecule: ribosomal RNA, 497 nt
Filed under: uncultured Actinomycetes bacterium
Lineage: Bacteria; Bacillati; Actinomycetota; Actinomycetes
Description: bacterial SSU rRNA
Rfam family: Bacterial small subunit ribosomal RNA
Source: RNAcentral